This 1042-nucleotide ribosomal RNA is filed under the name Salmonella enterica subsp. enterica serovar Typhimurium. RNAcentral describes it as "partial 23S ribosomal RNA". It matches the Rfam family "Bacterial large subunit ribosomal RNA", at positions 711 to 1666 of the family's 2925-position model. Lineage: Bacteria; Pseudomonadati; Pseudomonadota; Gammaproteobacteria; Enterobacterales; Enterobacteriaceae. The record is from RNAcentral.
AGACCCGAAACCCGGUGAUCUAGCCAUGGGCAGGUUGAAGGUUGGGUAACACUAACUGGAGGACCGAACCGACUAAUGUUGAAAAAUUAGCGGAUGACCUGUGGCUGGGGGUGAAAGGCCAAUCAAACCGGGAGAUAGCUGGUUCUCCCCGAAAGCUAUUUAGGUAGCGCCUCGUGAAUUCAUCUCCGGGGGUAGAGCACUGUUUCGGCUAGGGGGCCAUCCCGGCUUACCAACCCGAUGCAAACUGCGAAUACCGGAGAAUGUUAUCACGGGAGACACACGGCGGGUGCUAACGUCCGUCGUGAAGAGGGAAACAACCCAGACCGCCAGCUAAGGUCCCAAAGUCAUGGUUAAGUGGGAAACGAUGUGGGAAGGCCCAGACAGCCAGGAUGUUGGCUUAGAAGCAGCCAUCAUUUAAAGAAAGCGUAAUAGCUCACUGGUCGAGUCGGCCUGCGCGGAAGAUGUAACGGGGCUAAACCAUGCACCGAAGCUGCGGCAGCGAACGUAUCACCCAAGACAACUUUACGGAGUUGACGAUUGACGGAGCGAAGCGACGUCAAAGCGUUCAUUAAAGUCGAGUUGGCUUAGGGAUACGUUCGUUGGGUAGGGGAGCGUUCUGUAAGCCUGUGAAGGUGUGUCGUGAGGCAUGCUGGAGGUAUCAGAAGUGCGAAUGCUGACAUAAGUAACGAUAAAGCGGGUGAAAAGCCCGCUCGCCGGAAGACCAAGGGUUCCUGUCCAACGUUAAUCGGGGCAGGGUGAGUCGACCCCUAAGGCGAGGCCGAAAGGCGUAGUCGAUGGGAAACGGGUUAAUAUUCCCGUACUUGGUGUUACUGCGAAGGGGGGACGGAGAAGGCUAUGUUGGCCGGGCGACGGUUGUCCCGGUUUAAGCGUGUAGGUGUGUGUUCCAGGUAAAUCCGGUUCACUUUAACACUGAGGCGUGACGACGAGGCACUACGGUGCUGAAGCAACAAAUGCCCUGCUUCCAGGAAAAGCCUCUAAGCAUCAGGUAACACGAAAUCGUACCCCAAACCGACACAGGUGG